RNAcentral lists this long non-coding RNA (222 nucleotides) under Cricetulus griseus (Chinese hamster). Its description in RNAcentral is "lncRNA (ENSCGRG00015039125.1)". Lineage: Eukaryota; Metazoa; Chordata; Mammalia; Rodentia; Cricetidae. The record is from RNAcentral.
GUUGGUCUUAACCCAAGACGACCAGAAAAGGAGGAUGCCAAGAAUCUGGAAACACCAGGCCCUGACUUGGGUAAUGGGGAGGGUAGAUAGAUCCUCCGAGAAGGAGCAAGUGUGCUGCAGAUCUGUUCCACACAAGAACCAAAGAAACUGAAGCCCAGAGUCAUCAGAAGGAGGCUGUACGAGGAACGCUAUUUAAGCCUGCACUCUCCUGUUGAGUCAAUU